This 91-nucleotide transfer RNA is filed under the name Gaiellales bacterium. RNAcentral describes it as "tRNA-Ser". It matches the Rfam family "tRNA". Rfam says of the family: Transfer RNA (tRNA) molecules are approximately 80 nucleotides in length. Their secondary structure includes four short double-helical elements and three loops (D, anti-codon, and T loops). Further hydrogen bonds mediate the characteristic L-shaped molecular structure. tRNAs have two regions of fundamental functional importance: the anti-codon, which is responsible for specific mRNA codon recognition, and the 3' end, to which the tRNAs corresponding amino acid is attached (by aminoacyl-tRNA synthetases). tRNAs cope with the degeneracy of the genetic code in two manners: having more than one tRNA (with a specific anti-codon) for a particular amino acid; and 'wobble' base-pairing, i.e. permitting non-standard base-pairing at the 3rd anti-codon position. Lineage: Bacteria; Bacillati; Actinomycetota; Thermoleophilia; Gaiellales. The record is from RNAcentral.
GGAGAGGUGUCCGAGCUGGCUUAAGGAGCACGACUGGAAAUCGUGUAGGUGGGGGUAACUCGCCUCGGGGGUUCGAAUCCCCCCCUCUCCG